Molecule: long non-coding RNA, 1532 nt
Organism: Dreissena polymorpha
Lineage: Eukaryota; Metazoa; Mollusca; Bivalvia; Myida; Dreissenidae
Exons: 2
Source: RefSeq, a predicted model, not a curated record
UCGUCAUUCGUAGUUGACAGACAGUCCCUUUAAACAGCGAAUGUUUUGAUAAUGUCACGUGCACUGUAUGCGUUUUGUCACAAAAAGGUACCGCUUGGGUGUCUGUUCCCCACAUUCUCCUGGGAAUUUUGAACAAUCAUGUCGACUUAUAAAGUUGAACUUAUUUUGACUGUGGCGAGCGAAACCGAUCUGAAAACUGUAAUUGAAAGAGCAACGGAGGAUAAAAUGGCCUUCGAUGUGAUGGGAAGAGAACUUCGCUUCCAGGACAGUGACGAACUAAAGAUGUUAAAGGAAUGGUGCGAAGGCCAGGGAAUCAAACUUAUUUAAGAUUCCGACAUCAACUAUCAACCGGCAAAAUUUGACGACGGACAUGGCAAACCUGGCAGUCGACAAUAGGUAUUUCAACUUCUAACGGCACAAAUCGACGACGGACCUUCGCAUGGCAAACCUGAUUGGUGGAUUUAUGCAUGGACUUUUUCGACUCCCAGUCCAAGCGGAUAUAUCGAACUUAAGUUAUUGACACAUACUAUUACAAUGUGCAAAUACACCAUGCACGAAAUAUUCUAAAUCAGUUACUACAACUCAACUCAACAUAGACAGUUCUUUGAUGUAUGUAUAUUUAUAGCUAAAAACGAAGUCUGAGAGAGAAAAUUCUAACGUAAUUUGGACAUUUUUAUCAAUGUGCAACUGUGCAAAAUAUUUCGGAUGUUUCUAUAUCUUAAAAAUGUUUUUUUUUGCCGUGAUCGGUGGAAUUGUGACAUUAAUAAUGGAUAAACCUAGUAUCAUAUUCAUCUGUUAAAUAUCAGCUAUAUAACAUAUAUAACAUGUAAUAUAUAUGAGUCGCGUUCUAGGAAAACCGGCCUUAAUGCAUGUGCGUAAAGUGUAAAGUGGAGUCGGCACAGGCUAAUCUGGGACAAUACUUUUCGCCUACACUCGAUUAUCGUUUAAAAGAGACCUCCUUUAAACAAAACAUUCCAUACACGCGGAAAGUGUCAUAAGUGUCAUGUCUCAUUAGACUGUGCGGAACGCACAUGCUAAUCUGCGACGACACUUAAUGCACGUGCAUUAAACCCAGUUUUCCCAGAACGCGACUCAUAUAUAACAUAUAUCAACUUCAAACCAUAGAUUUUUGAUGUUGAACUUUCUACAGUAAAUAUCUAUUGUCGACUGUCGCUUGUACGCUAGUUAGUGUAAAAGUUAUCUUAAAGGCAACAGACUAGAUUUUACACCUGGGAGAGGAUAAAUGUUUAUAAAAUAUCCUUGCUGGAAGUUUCAAGAAAACCUUGCAACUAUAACCUAAUUUAACAGCUAUAUAAUAUCUAUCAACUUCAAACUAAAGAUUUUUGCUAUUGAUCUUUCUACAGUAAAUGUAUAUUGUCGACUGUCGCCUGUAAGCUAUUUAAUAUAAAGGUAGUACUGAAAAGUAUGUCCCAGUAUAAUAUAUCUAUAUUGUGUGUUUGUUUGCAUAACUGAUAUUUUUUCCUAUUUGUAGUUUAGUUUCUUUUUAUAUUAAACUUUUAUCCAAAGACGUU